This 406-nucleotide ribosomal RNA is filed under the name uncultured bacterium. RNAcentral describes it as "partial 16S ribosomal RNA". It matches the Rfam family "Bacterial small subunit ribosomal RNA", at positions 30 to 526 of the family's 1533-position model. The record is from RNAcentral.
AUUGAACGCUGGCGGCAGGCCUAACACAUGCAAGUCGAACGAGUGGCGGACGGGUGAGUAAUGUCUGGGAAACUGCCUGAUGGAGGGGGAUAACUACUGGAAACGGUAGCUAAUACCGCAUACCAUCGGAUGUGCCCAAAUGGGAUUAGCUAGUUGGUGGGGUAAUGGCUCACCAAGGCGACGAUCCCUAGCUGGUCUGAGAGGAUGACCAGCCACACUGGAACUGAGACACGGUCCAGACUCCUACGGGAGGCAGCAGUGGGGAAUAUUGCGCAAUGGGCGCAAGCCUGAUGCAGCCAUGCCGCGUGAGUGAAGAAGGCCUUCGGGUUGUAAAGCACUUUCAGUGAGGAGGCGUUACUCGCAGAAGAAGCACCGGCUAACUCCGUGCCAGCAGCCGCGGUAAUAC